RNAcentral lists this unclassified non-coding RNA (256 nucleotides) under Sydowia sp. RNAcentral's name for it is "partial contains 5.8S ribosomal RNA, internal transcribed spacer 2, and large subunit ribosomal RNA". The stretch from base 1 to 52 matches the Rfam family "5.8S ribosomal RNA", at positions 103 to 154 of the family's 154-position model. Lineage: Eukaryota; Fungi; Ascomycota; Dothideomycetes; Dothideales; Dothioraceae. The record is from RNAcentral.
AACGCACAUUGCGCCCCUUGGUAUUCCGAGGGGCAUGCCUGUUCGAGCGUCAUUACACCACUCAAGCAUCGCUUGGUAUUGGGAACGGUCCGUCGAAAGGCGGGCCUUCCUCGAAGACCUCGGCGGGGUUCAACCAACUUCGGGCGUAGUAGAGUUAAAUCGAACGUCUUAUAAGCUUGGUCGGAUCUCAUUGCCGUUAAACCUUUAAAUUUUCUAGGUUGACCUCGGAUCAGGUAGGGAUACCCGCUGAACUUAA